CUUUUAUCCUGCUAUCAUCUCUAACUUCCUCUUUUGCAGAUCAAAGUUAUUUUAGGAAGACAAGGUUCCUGAGCAGAAGGGAAAAUGAGCUUGAAGAUGAGGCUUGAAGGAGAAAGAAGGGCUGGGGAGAAAUAUGCAUAUACAGGAGCUACCUCUCAAGUCAUUGACUUCCACUCAAGAAAACAGAACAUGAGGAAACCAUCCAAUAAGAAGGCAAGUCUCUUCAUAAACCUUUCAAGAACAUCUUUUGGUAGGACUAUGUCAAACAUUUUUUUUUUUUUUUUGUCAAACAUUUUUGUGUAG
This 303-nucleotide long non-coding RNA is filed under the name Cervus hanglu yarkandensis (Yarkand deer). Its description in RNAcentral is "lncRNA (ENSCHYG00000015365.1)". The record is from RNAcentral. Lineage: Eukaryota; Metazoa; Chordata; Mammalia; Artiodactyla; Cervidae.